RNAcentral lists this ribosomal RNA (251 nucleotides) under uncultured prokaryote. Its description in RNAcentral is "partial 16S ribosomal RNA". It matches the Rfam family "Bacterial small subunit ribosomal RNA", at positions 524 to 774 of the family's 1533-position model. The record is from RNAcentral.
UACGGAGGAUGCAAGCGUUAUCCGGAUUUAUUGGGUUUAAAGGGUGCGCAGGUUGCUUGAUAAGUCAGUGGUGAAAGUCUGUCGCUUAACGGUAGGAUUGCCAUUGAUACUGUUAGACUUGAAUAUGGAUGAGGUAGGCGGAAUGUGUAGUGUAGCGGUGAAAUGCAUAGAUAUUACACAGAACACCGAUUGCGAAGGCAGCUUACUAAUCCAUCAUUGACGCUGAGGCACGAAAGCGUGGGGAUCAAACA